RNAcentral lists this ribosomal RNA (254 nucleotides) under uncultured bacterium. Its description in RNAcentral is "partial 16S ribosomal RNA". It matches the Rfam family "Bacterial small subunit ribosomal RNA", at positions 524 to 776 of the family's 1533-position model. The record is from RNAcentral.
UACGGGGGGGGGAAGCGUUGUUCGGAAUUACUGGGCGUAAAGGGCUCGUAGGCGGCCAACUAAGUCGGAUGUGAAAUCCCCAGGCUUAACCUGGGAACUGCAUCCGAUACUGUAUGGCUUGAAUCCGGGAGAGGGAUGCAGAAUUCCAGGUGUAGCGGUGAAAUGCGUAGAUAUCUGGAGGAAUACCGGUGGCGAAGGCGGCAUCCUGGACCGGCAUUGACGCUGAGUGAGCGAAAGCCAGGGGAGCAAACGGG